CCUACGGGAGGCAGCAGCAGGGAAUAUUGUGCAAUGAGCGAAAGCUUGACACAGCGACACCGCGUGUGGGAUGACGGUUCUAGGAUUGUAAACCACUUUCAGGAGGGAAGAAAAUGACGGUACCUCCACAAGAAGACCCGGCCAACUAUGCGCCAGCAGCCGCGGUAAUACAUAGGGGUCAAGCGUUGUCCGGAUUUAUUGGGCGUAAAGAGCUCGUAGGCGGUUCAACAAGUCGGUCGUAAAAGUUUAGGGCUCAACCCUAAAAUGUCGAUCGAUACUGUUGUGACUAGGAUACGGUAGAGGUGAAUGGAAUUCCGAGUGUAGCGGUGAAAUGCGUAGAUAUUCGGAGGAACACCAAUUGCGAAGGCAGUUCACUGGACCGUGAUCGACGCUGAGGAGCGAAAGCUAGGGGAGCAAACAGGAUUAGAUACCCUGGUAGUCCUAGCUGUAAACGAUGGAUACUAGAUGUAGGAACUGGAUUGACGGUUUCUGUAUCGUAGCUAACGCGUUAAGUAUCCCGCCUGGGGAGUACGGUCGCAAGACUAAAACUCAAAGGAAUUGACGG
RNAcentral lists this ribosomal RNA (565 nucleotides) under uncultured Acidimicrobiales bacterium. RNAcentral's name for it is "bacterial SSU rRNA". It matches the Rfam family "Bacterial small subunit ribosomal RNA", at positions 338 to 916 of the family's 1533-position model. The record is from RNAcentral. Lineage: Bacteria; Bacillati; Actinomycetota; Acidimicrobiia; Acidimicrobiales.